Molecule: ribosomal RNA, 214 nt
Filed under: uncultured bacterium
Lineage: Bacteria
Description: partial 16S ribosomal RNA
Rfam family: Bacterial small subunit ribosomal RNA
Source: RNAcentral
UAGCCUUUCGAAAGGAAGAUUAAUACCGCAUAAGAUUGUAGUAUCGCAUGAUAUAGCAAUUAAAAGGAGCAAUCCGCUAUAAGAUGGACCCGCGUUGCAUUAGCUAGUUGGUGAGGUAAUGGCUCACCAAGGCGACGAUGCGUAGCCGACCUGAGAGGGUGAUCGGCCACAUUGGGACUGAGACACGGCCCAGACUCCUACGGGAGGCAGCAUG